AUUUUGUCCAAUGCAUAUUCUUGGUCCCCAACUAAAUGGAAAAUAUGCAAAUUUACCUUUUGUUGCUUUAUUAACUCCUUCACUAAACCUCAUUGGAUUGAACUCUUUUGCAUCAUCACCCCAUAUUUCAUUAUCAUGUUGCAAAUAAAUUGUUGGCAACAAUAGUAACAUCCCAGCAGGCAAUGACAAGUGCCCUAAUUUUGUCUCUUUUUGUACUCUUCUACCAAUCAUAGUUCCUGGUGGAUAUAACCUUAGAACCUCAUUGAAUAUCAUUGUUACAACUUUCAAUUGAUUCAACAUGUCAUAGUUAGGCUUGUUACUUCCAAAUACUUGAUGAACUUCUUGUCUAGCUUUUUCUUGCCAAUCCAAAUGUUUACUCAAUAAAAUCAAAGUCCAAACAAGUAAUACUGAAGUAGUUUCUUGACCAGCAAAAUAAAAUAAUUUGCAUUCUUCAAUCACUUCAUCAAUUGUCAUUCCAAAAUUCUUGUUUUCAUGAUGAAUUUGUAUUUCUUUGAAAUUUGAUUCCAAUAAUAUACCUAAUAAAUCAUCUUUUGUAGCUUCACCUUCUUUCAUUUCCUUUAUUCUAUUGUUGAUAAUUCCCAACACUAAUGAUCUUACUUCAUUUGCUAUUUGCUUUAUCCUCUUGUUCCUUUUUGUUGGCACAAACCUCCAUCCAGGGAUGUAUAUCCACCUUGCUGCUUGUAUAAUUAAAUCAGCUUGUUCUUUUUGUAGCUCAAAUAUUUGCCUUCCUUCUUCAUAAUUACUACCAAAUGCUGUUCUUGAAAUUGCAUCACUUGUCAAAGUUUGCAAAAAUGGCCA
Molecule: unclassified non-coding RNA, 819 nt
Filed under: Hevea brasiliensis (rubber tree)
Lineage: Eukaryota; Viridiplantae; Streptophyta; Magnoliopsida; Malpighiales; Euphorbiaceae
Source: RNAcentral